Molecule: ribosomal RNA, 411 nt
Filed under: Bacteroidota bacterium
Lineage: Bacteria; Pseudomonadati; Bacteroidota
Description: Bacteroidetes bacterium partial 16S ribosomal RNA
Rfam family: Bacterial small subunit ribosomal RNA
Source: RNAcentral
UGGGGAAUAUUGCGCAAUGGGGGAAACCCUGACGCAGCGACGCCGCGUGCGUGAUGAAGGCCUUCGGGUUGUAAACCGCUUUUGAUUGGGAGCAAGCUUUCGGGUGAGUUUACCUUUCGAAUAAGCGCCGGCUAACUACGUGCCAGCAGCCGCGGUAAUACGUAGGGCGCAAGCGUUAUCCGGAAUUAUUGGGCGUAAAGAGCUUGUAGGCGGUUCGUCGCGUCUGGUGUGAAAGCCCAUCGCUUAACGGUGGGUUUGCGCCGGGUACGGGCGGGCUAGAGUGCAGUAGGGGGGACUGGAAUUCCCGGUGUAACGGUGGAAUGUGUAGAUAUCGGGAAGAACACCAAUGGCGAAGGCAGGUCUCUGGGCUGUUACUGACGCUGAGAAGCGAAAGCGUGGGGAGCGAACAGG